ACUGCGAAUACCGGAGAAUGUUAUCACGGGAGACACACGGCGGGUGCUAACGUCCGUCGUGAAGAGGGAAACAACCCAGACCGCCAGCUAAGGUCCCAAAGUCAUGGUUAAGUGGGAAACGAUGUGGGAAGGCCCAGACAGCCAGGAUGUUGGCUUAGAAGCAGCCAUCAUUUAAAGAAAGCGUAAUAGCUCACUGGUCGAGUCGGCCUGCGCGGAAGAUGUAACGGGGCUAAACCAUGCACCGAAGCUGCGGCAGCGACACUGUGUGUUGUUGGGUAGGGGAGCGUUCUGUAAGCCUGUGAAGGUGUGUCGUGAGGCAUGCUGGAGGUAUCAGAAGUG
This 339-nucleotide ribosomal RNA is filed under the name Salmonella enterica. Its description in RNAcentral is "bacterial LSU rRNA". It matches the Rfam family "Bacterial large subunit ribosomal RNA", at positions 953 to 1290 of the family's 2925-position model. The record is from RNAcentral. Lineage: Bacteria; Pseudomonadati; Pseudomonadota; Gammaproteobacteria; Enterobacterales; Enterobacteriaceae.